This 271-nucleotide ribosomal RNA is filed under the name uncultured bacterium. RNAcentral's name for it is "partial 16S ribosomal RNA". It matches the Rfam family "Bacterial small subunit ribosomal RNA", at positions 90 to 354 of the family's 1533-position model. The record is from RNAcentral.
CGUGAGUGGCGGACGGGUGGAGUAACGACGUAGGGAACCGUAGGCCCGUUACACGGGGAGUAACAGAUGGAACAAACUAGCUAAUACCGCAUAAGCGCCCAGCCUCGCAUGAGGCAGAGUGAAAAACUAAGGUGGUAAGGGAUGGCCCUGCGUCCGAUUAGCUAGUUGGUAUGGUAACGGCAUACCAAGGCGACGAUCGGUAGCCGGCCUGAGAGGGUGGACGGCCACAUUGGGACUGAGACACGGCCCAAACUCCUACGGGAGGCAGCAG